This 578-nucleotide ribosomal RNA is filed under the name uncultured bacterium. Its description in RNAcentral is "bacterial SSU rRNA". It matches the Rfam family "Bacterial small subunit ribosomal RNA", at positions 338 to 916 of the family's 1533-position model. The record is from RNAcentral.
CCUACGGGAGGCAGCAGUAAGGAAUAUUGGUCAAUGGACGAAAGUCUGAACCAGCCAUGCCGCGUGAAGGAUGAAGGCCCUCUGGGUUGUAAACUUCUUUUAUCUAUGAAUAAACGCCCGAUUUCUAUUGGGUUUGAAGGUAAUAGAUGAAUAAGCACCGGCUAACUCCGUGCCAGCAGCCGCGGUAAUACGGAGGGUGCAAGCGUUAUCCGGAUUUACUGGGUUUAAAGGGUGCGUAGGCGGAUUGAUAAGUCAGCGGUGAAAUACUCUCGCUUAACGAGGGAACUGCCGUUGAUACUAUUAAUCUUGAAUACGGUUGAGGCGGAUAGAAUGUGUCAUGUAGCGGUGAAAUGCUUAGAUAUGACACAGAAUACCAAUUGCGAAGGCAGUUCGCUAAGCCGUUAUUGACGCUGAGGCACGAAAGCGUGGGGAUCAAACAGGAUUAGAUACCCUGGUAGUCCACGCCCUAAACUAUGAUUACUCGACAUACGCGAUACACUGUGUGUGUCUGAGCGAAAGCAUUAAGUAAUCCACCUGGGAAGUACGACCGCAAGGUUGAAACUCAAAGGAAUUGACGG